GUAUGUGAAAGUAUGGUGAGGGAUUGAUGCUCAUAAUAAUUAGUAAAUAUAUACCAGAGAAUCCAAACACAAACCCUAACCCUAACCCUAACCAGAAAAAGAGAGAUGGGAGGAAAUAGAAGUGAUGAAAAGAAACCCAAUUUGAAAUCAAAGAAAGAAAGAAAGGAAUAACAGAGUGUGAAGCCGUGGAAGGAAUCGAAAGAAUAUCUGGAAGAUGUGGGCGAUGAAGUGGCUAAAGAAAUUGGUCGUUGAGCGAGUUGGUCAUUGAUCUAAGCCCCCUCAGUGAUGAGGAUGUCAGUGACGACAACAAUCUAGUUGGAGAAAUAUACAGUGAUGAGGAUGGGUAUAAUGGCUUUGGGAGAAGAGUUCAAUGGUCUUCAAUGGUGGCUAAGAAGAGUGAAGGAUAAAAGACAUGGCUCUCAGUGGAUCCAGCAG
Molecule: long non-coding RNA, 435 nt
Filed under: Vitis vinifera (wine grape)
Lineage: Eukaryota; Viridiplantae; Streptophyta; Magnoliopsida; Vitales; Vitaceae
Description: long non-coding RNA (VVIN_LNC007012)
Source: RNAcentral